RNAcentral lists this transfer RNA (58 nucleotides) under Nippostrongylus brasiliensis. The record is from Rfam by way of RNAcentral. Lineage: Eukaryota; Metazoa; Nematoda; Chromadorea; Rhabditida; Heligmosomidae.
AGCUCAGCGGAUUAGUAAAUCAAAUAGAGAAAUGCGGGUUCGAAUCCCGCCUGCGCUA